This 301-nucleotide ribosomal RNA is filed under the name uncultured bacterium. Its description in RNAcentral is "partial 16S ribosomal RNA". It matches the Rfam family "Bacterial small subunit ribosomal RNA", at positions 509 to 809 of the family's 1533-position model. The record is from RNAcentral.
CAGUCGCCGCGGUAACACGAGGGGGGCAAGUGUUGUUCGGAAUUAUUGGGCGUAAAGGGUGCGUAGGCGGUUCAGCAAGUCUCGUGUGAAAUCUUCGGGCUCAACCCGAAGUCUGCACGGGAAACUACUGGGCUUGAGUAAUGGAGAGGUGAGUGGAAUUUCCGGUGUAGCGGUGAAAUGCGUAGAGAUCGGGAGGAACAUCAGUGGCGAAGGCGGCCAUCUGGGACAACACUGACGCUGAGGCACGAAAGCGUGGGGAGCAAACAGGAUUAGAUACCCCAGUAGUCCCUGUCUCUUAUAA